UGGAGGUAGAUAUGUAUAGGGGACAGGGAUACUGGAGUGAUGGAGGUAGAUAUGUAUAGGGGACAGGGAUACUGGAGUGAUGGAGGUAGAUAUGUGUAGGGGGAAGGAGACAGGGAUACUGGAGUGAUGGAGGUAGAUAUGUAUAGGGGGAAGGGGACAGGGAUACUGGAGUGAUGGAGGUAGAUAUGUAUAGGGGACAGGGAUACUGGAGUGAUGGAGGUAGAUAUGUAUAGGGGUAAGGUGACUAUAUAUCAGGAUAUAUGAUAAACAGAGUAGCAGCAAACGUAUAUGAUGGUUGUAUGUAAGUGGGUGUAGAGUCAGUAUGAAUGUGUGGGUGUGUCUGUGUGUGUGAGUGAGGGUAGAGACAAAUAAAAUAGCAUGGUUCAAUGCAGAUCAAUCAGUCAAAUGUAUUUAUAAAUCCCUUUUUACGUAGUCUUCUGUUGGUAGAGCAUGGCUUUGCAACAC
This 465-nucleotide long non-coding RNA is filed under the name Salmo salar (Atlantic salmon). Its description in RNAcentral is "lncRNA (ENSSSAG00000111834.1)". The record is from RNAcentral. Lineage: Eukaryota; Metazoa; Chordata; Actinopteri; Salmoniformes; Salmonidae.